Gambusia affinis (western mosquitofish) is the source of this 307-nucleotide long non-coding RNA. RefSeq lists it as uncharacterized. The transcript has 3 exons. The record is from RefSeq and is a predicted model, not a curated record. Lineage: Eukaryota; Metazoa; Chordata; Actinopteri; Cyprinodontiformes; Poeciliidae.
UCGCCACAACAGCAGGGAUGCUGCUCACUCGACUUCCUCAUCAAAUCACAGUUAAAAUGAUCAAGCCGGACCCUUGAGUGCUGCCAGAUUGUUAAUCUUGUUUGUGGUGAACUGGUGGACCGCAACACAGGACCAGAGGGACGGGCUGUGACCGGAUUAGUAACGGGCAAAGAGCUUCUCUUAUUCAGUCAUGAGCCACCCAUGAUGAUGAGAAUGCAAACUGAGAAAACACCCUUAAGCCAGUAUGAUUGAAGACGAGCAGGAGCCCAACUGCUGCCGAAAGAGAGAUUUCAUAAGGACUGCUGUG